CCGGAGGAAGAGAAAGAAAAUUCGAUUCCCUUAGUAGCGGCGAGCGAAACGGGAAGAGCCCAAACCAACAAGCUUGCUUGUUGGGGUUGUAGGACACUCUAUACGGAGUUACAAAGGACGACAUUAGACGAAUCAUCUGGAAAGAUGAAUCAAAGAAGGUAAUAAUCCUGUAGUCGAAAAUGUUGUCUCUCUUGAGUGGAUCCUGAGUACGACGGAGCACGUGAAAUUCCGUCGGAAUCUGGGAGGACCAUCUCCUAAGGCUAAAUACUCUCUAGUGACCGAUAGUGAACCAGUACCGUGAGGGAAAGGUGAAAAGCACCCCGGAAGGGGAGUGAAAUAGAACCUGAAACCGUGUGCUUACAAGUAGUCAGAGCCCGUUAAUGGGUGAUGGCGUGCCUUUUGUAGAAUGAACCGGCGAGUUACGAUUUGAUGCAAGGUUAAGCAGUAAAUGUGGAGCCGUAGCGAAAGCGAGUCUGAAUAGGGCGUUUAGUAUUUGGUCGUAGACCCGAAACCAGGUGAUCUACCCUUGGUCAGGUUGAAGUUCAGGUAACACUGAAUGGAGGACCGAACCGACUUACGUUGAAAAGUGAGCGGAUGAACUGAGGGUAGCGGAGAAAUUCCAAUCGAACCUGGAGAUAGCUGGUUCUCUCCGAAAUAGCUUUAGGGCUAGCCUCAAGUGAUGAUUAUUGGAGGUAGAGCACUGUUUGGACGAGGGGCCCCUCUCGGGUUACCGAAUUCAGACAAACUCCGAAUGCCAAUUAAUUUAACUUGGGAGUCAGAACAUGGGUGAUAAGGUCCGUGUUCGAAAGGGAAACAGCCCAGACCACCAGCUAAGGUCCCAAAAUAUAUGUUAAGUGGAAAAGGAUGUGGCGUUGCCCAGACAACUAGGAUGUUGGCUUAGAAGCAGCCAUCAUUUAAAGAGUGCGUAAUAGCUCACUAGUCGAGUGACACUGCGCCGAAAAUGUACCGGGGCUAAACAUAUUACCGAAGCUGUGGAUUGUCCUUUGGACAAUGGUAGGAGAGCGUUCUAAGGGCGUUGAAGCAUGAUCGUAAGGACAUGUGGAGCGCUUAGAAGUGAGAAUGCCGGUGUGAGUAGCGAAAGACGGGUGAGAAUCCCGUCCACCGAUUGACUAAGGUUUCCAGAGGAAGGCUCGUCCGCUCUGGGUUAGUCGGGUCCUAAGCUGAGGCCGACAGGCGUAGGCGAUGGAUAACAGGUUGAUAUUCCUGUACCACCUAUAAUCGUUUUAAUCGAUGGGGGGACGCAGUAGGAUAGGCGAAGCGUGCGAUUGGAUUGCACGUCUAAGCAGUAAGGCUGAGUAUUAGGCAAAUCCGGUACUCGUUAAGGCUGAGCUGUGAUGGGGAGAAGACAUUGUGUCUUCGAGUCGUUGAUUUCACACUGCCGAGAAAAGCCUCUAGAUAGAAAAUAGGUGCCCGUACCGCAAACCGACACAGGUAGUCAAGAUGAGAAUUCUAAGGUGAGCGAGCGAACUCUCGUUAAGGAACUCGGCAAAAUGACCCCGUAACUUCGGGAGAAGGGGUGCUCUUUAGGGUUAACGCCCAGAAGAGCCGCAGUGAAUAGGCCCAAGCGACUGUUUAUCAAAAACACAGGUCUCUGCUAAACCGUAAGGUGAUGUAUAGGGGCUGACGCCUGCCCGGUGCUGGAAGGUUAAGAGGAGUGGUUAGCUUCUGCGAAGCUACGAAUCGAAGCCCCAGUAAACGGCGGCCGUAACUAUAACGGUCCUAAGGUAGCGAAAUUCCUUGUCGGGUAAGUUCCGACCCGCACGAAAGGCGUAACGAUUUGGGCACUGUCUCAACGAGAGACUCGGUGAAAUCAUAGUACCUGUGAAGAUGCAGGUUACCCGCGACAGGACGGAAAGACCCCGUGGAGCUUUACUGUAGCCUGAUAUUGAAAUUCGGCACAGCUUGUACAGGAUAGGUAGGAGCCUUUGAAACGUGAGCGCUAGCUUACGUGGAGGCGCUGGUGGGAUACUACCCUAGCUGUGUUGGCUUUCUAACCCGCACCACUUAUCGUGGUGGGAGACAGUGUCAGGCGGGCAGUUUGACUGGGGCGGUCGCCUCCUAAAAGGUAACGGAGGCGCUCAAAGGUUCCCUCAGAAUGGUUGGAAAUCAUUCAUAGAGUGUAAAGGCAUAAGGGAGCUUGACUGCGAGACCUACAAGUCGAGCAGGGUCGAAAGACGGACUUAGUGAUCCGGUGGUUCCGCAUGGAAGGGCCAUCGCUCAACGGAUAAAAGCUACCCCGGGGAUAACAGGCUUAUCUCCCCCAAGAGUUCACAUCGACGGGGAGGUUUGGCACCUCGAUGUCGGCUCAUCGCAUCCUGGGGCUGUAGUCGGUCCCAAGGGUUGGGCUGUUCGCCCAUUAAAGCGGUACGCGAGCUGGGUUCAGAACGUCGUGAGACAGUUCGGUCCCUAUCCGUCGUGGGCGUAGGAAAUUUGAGAGGAGCUGUCCUUAGUACGAGAGGACCGGGAUGGACAUACCUCUGGUGUACCAGUUGUCGUGCCAACGGCAUAGCUGGGUAGCUAUGUGUGGACGGGAUAAGUGCUGAAAGCAUCUAAGCAUGAAGCCCCCCUCAAGAUGAGAUUUCCCAACUUCGGUUAUAAGAUCCCUCAAAGAUGAUGAGGUUAAUAGGUUCGAGGUGGAAGCAUGGUGACAUGUGGAGCUGACGAAUACUAAUCGAUCGAAGACUUAAUCAAAUU
This 2715-nucleotide ribosomal RNA is filed under the name Staphylococcus aureus. RNAcentral's name for it is "partial 23S ribosomal RNA". It matches the Rfam family "Bacterial large subunit ribosomal RNA". The record is from RNAcentral. Lineage: Bacteria; Bacillati; Bacillota; Bacilli; Caryophanales; Staphylococcaceae.